RNAcentral lists this ribosomal RNA (635 nucleotides) under Lissopterus sp. LIM1. RNAcentral describes it as "partial 16S ribosomal RNA". It matches the Rfam family "Bacterial large subunit ribosomal RNA", at positions 1825 to 2760 of the family's 2925-position model. The record is from RNAcentral. Lineage: Eukaryota; Metazoa; Arthropoda; Insecta; Coleoptera; Carabidae.
GUCCUUUUGAUUAUAAUUUAAGGUCUGACCUGCCCACUGAAAUUAUUUUAAAUGGCCGCAGUAAUUUGACUGUGCAAAGGUAGCAUAAUCAUUAGUUUUUUAAUUAAAAGCUUGUAUGAAGGGUUGGACGAGAUAAAAUCUGUCUCUAUUUAAUUUAUUAUAAAAUUUAAUUUUUAAGUUAAAAAGCUUAAAUUUUUUUAAAAGACGAGAAGACCCUAUAGAUCUUUAUAGUUUUGAUUUUGAAUUUAAUUAAUAAAUUUUUAGGGUUUAUGAUUUAAACUAUUUUAUUGGGGUAAUAGAAAGAUUAAAAUAAUUCUUUUUUUCUUUAAACAUUUAUUUAUGUUUUUAAUGAUCCAAUUUUAUUGAUUAUAAGAUUAAGUUACCUUAGGGAUAACAGCGUAAUUUUUUUAGAGAGUUCUUAUCGAUAAAAAAGUUUGCGACCUCGAUGUUGGAUUAAAGAUUAGUUUAGGUGUAGAAGUUUAAAUUUUUGGUCUGUUCGACCAUUAAAUCUUUACAUGAUCUGAGUUCAGACCGGCGUAAGCCAGGUCGGUUUCUAUCUUUAAUAAUUUUAAAAUAUUUUAGUACGAAAGGACCAAAUAUUUAAUAUAUUUAUAUUUAAUUUUUUGAAUAUUAUU